RNAcentral lists this unclassified non-coding RNA (240 nucleotides) under soil metagenome. Its description in RNAcentral is "partial contains 5.8S ribosomal RNA, internal transcribed spacer 2, and large subunit ribosomal RNA". The record is from RNAcentral.
AACACUGUUAACCUGCGGUACCUGCGGAAGGAUCAUUACAGAGUUGCAAAACUCCCUAAACCAUUGUGAACGUUACCUAAACCGUUGCUUCGGCGGGCGGCCCGGGUCCUUCCCGGCGCCCCUCGGCCCUCGCGGGCGCCCGCCGGAGGUAAACCAAACUAUUGCAUUGUAUGGCCUCUCUGAGUCUUCUGUACUGAAUAAGUCAAAACUUUUAGCAAUGGAUCUCAGAUCGGAAGAGCA